AUUGAACGCUGGCGGCAGGCCUAACACAUGCAAGUCGAACGGCAGCGGGGGAUAGCUUGCUAUCCUGCCGGCGAGUGGCGGACGGGUGAGUAAUGCAUGGGGAGCUGCCCAGUCGAGGGGGAUAACAACUGGAAACGGUUGCUAAUACCGCAUACGCCCUAAGGGGGAAAGGUGGGGAACGUCGGUCCUACCGCGAUUGGAUGCGCCCAUGUGGGAUUAGCUAGUUGGUGAGGUAACGGCUCACCAAGGCGACGAUCUCUAGCUGGUCUGAGAGGAUGACCAGCCACACUGGAACUGAGACACGGUCCAGACUCCUACGGGAGGCAGCAGUGGGGAAUAUUGCACAAUGGGGGAAACCCUGAUGCAGCCAUGCCGCGUGUGUGAAGAAGGCCUUCGGGUUGUAAAGCACUUUCAGUCAGGAGGAAGGGGUGAUGGCUAAUAUCCAUCAUCAUUGACGUUACUGACAGAAGAAGCACCGGCUAACUCCGUGCCAGCCGACGCAGUAA
Molecule: ribosomal RNA, 506 nt
Filed under: uncultured bacterium
Lineage: Bacteria
Description: partial 16S ribosomal RNA
Rfam family: Bacterial small subunit ribosomal RNA
Source: RNAcentral